This 484-nucleotide ribosomal RNA is filed under the name uncultured bacterium. RNAcentral describes it as "partial 16S ribosomal RNA". It matches the Rfam family "Bacterial small subunit ribosomal RNA", at positions 30 to 507 of the family's 1533-position model. The record is from RNAcentral.
AUUGAACGCUGGCGGCAGGCCUAACACAUGCAAGUCGAGCGGAUGAAGGGAGCUUGCUCCUGGAUUCCGCGGCGGACGGGUGUGUAAUGCCUAUGAAUCUGCCUUGUCGUGCGGGAUAACGUCCUGAAACGGGCGCUAAUACCGCAUCCGUCCUUCUGGCGCAAGUGGGGGUUCUUCGGUCCUCAUGCUUUCUUAUGAGCCUAGGUCGGAUUAGCUAGUUGGUUGGGUAAAGGCCUACCAAGGCUACGAUUCGUAACUGGUCUGAGAGGAUGAUCAGUCACACUGGAACAGAGACACGGUCCAGACUCCUACGGGAGGCAGCAGUGGGGAAUAUUGGACAAUGGGCGAAAGCGUGAUCCAGCAAUGCCGCGUGUGUGAAGAAGGACUUCGGAUUGUAAAGCACUUUAAGUUGGGAGGAAGGGCAGUAAGUUAAUACCGUGCGGUAUUGACGGUACCAACAGAAUAAGCACCGGCUAACUUCGUG